CCAUCUUUAUGCAUUCAGAAGCAAUGUAGGAUAUGCUCAACAGUCUGGGACCAGGUAUCUCAAUUGAUUGUUGCAGAUUUGAGUCAUGUAGAAGCCCUUGAUUAGGAACCUAAAUGCUGGAGACGCAGCUCCUCCCAUCUCUGGCACUAACUGCGGGAGCUUGGAUAGUGGUUUUCCCCUCCGCAGCCGAGCCUCAUGUCUGAGGCUGUAAUCUGUAAAUAAUGGGGAUGUACUUGGAUGUCUGAGGUCCCCUCCUGCACUAACAAUAAUCAAGAUUCACCUUAAGAAGCAGAAUGGCUAACGCCAACUCAAACUAUUUCUGCAAAGAGUUGCUGGGGACAAAGUGGAGAUGUGGGUAGGCUCCUCGAGCUGGCUCUGAGAAGCAGGCUACUGUUUUGGACCUGGAAACUGCUAUUCACUAGAAGUCAGUCCCGCCUCUAACACUCUGUAAUGUGUGAGCAAAUUUCUGAGCCUCAGUUUCCCCAUCAGUCCAUUGGUGAGUAACUGCUUCUUUCUUUGCAAAAGCUUUGUGAGGACUGAGUAAAAUAGUGAAUGCGAUGCACCUAGUAGACAGUGGGUACUUAACAAAUGUGCUUCAGUUUUUAAAAAAAGAUUUUGUUUAUUUAUUUGACAGAGAGAGAUACAGCAAGAGAAGGAACACAAGCAGGGGGAGUGGGAGAGGGAGAAGCAGACUUGCCGCCAAGCAAGGAGCCCAAUGCAGGGCUAGAUCCCAGGACCCUGGGAUUCUGACCAGAGCCGAAGGCAGAAGCUUUAUGACUGAGCCACUCAGCCACCCCCACUCUACACGAUCAGAACAGAAUCUCCUUGGAUCCCUGGGGUCUGUGGACUGGGGUGGCUCAGACACUCGGUGCUAUCGAUCCUGUAGGCAGAGAAUCCAGCUCUUGUGGCCCCUUCCUGCUUCCUCCCCUCCCCUGCAUGUUCCCCAAGAGCUCGCUCUGUGUGAAGCCCCAUCCGGGAAGCUGGGGAGACACCAGUGGAUGACAAGUCUUGGCCCGCAAGAUGCAGCGGGGAAGAAGAGGAUGAGAGAGUAAAGAGAUCAUGGAAAAGCCCAGUGCCUUAUCUGCUGAUGCGAAACAUUUAGCAGGUCUGGAAAGUGAAUGAAGAAGGAAUGCAGGGUCCUGGGCAUCCAGGUGGCAAUCUGGAAUUUGUGUUUUGGAGAGGAGGGUAACGGAAGGAAUGGGGGACAUGGGCUUUAGUGGGAACAUCCCGUUGGCCUGCAGACUCUGAGGAAGGCUUCGGAGAAAGGAGGGCAGAGACAGACCCUGUUUAGAGCAGAGCCCAGGAAAGAAGCCCAAGGGCAAGGAUGGGGCCAUGUCACCAGACCAGGUCUGGCGGUGGCAAGCCUGGAGACAAGGUCAUUUAAAGGGCUGCUGUUAUAGCUCAUGGGGCAUCCAUGCUGGUCUGAACCAAGAUGGAGGAGACAGGGCUGAAGAGGGAGAAGAGCUCAGGAGGAGGAAGUGAUAGGUGGGAUCGUCCUAGCUGCUGCUGUGGUCUCGACCCUGCUGACUCUGAUCAGGUCACACGGGGCAGCUAAACAGGCUGUACGACCCACCCUGGGGCAGACCCUGGACCUGGAGGAUUAUAGAAUGGGAAAUAUAAGGUUCUAAUUUAAGUACGUACCCCUGUGAGGAAUGAGAUCCUAAGGCAGGCUAUGGAUCAGCCAGUGGAAGAGGGUAGGAAUGGGAGGCAGAAGAGCACAGGUAGGAACAAUGUUCUAGAAGUGCUGUCGGGAGAUGAAGGUGUUGUAACGCCUGUUCUCUCCCUCAGGAGUGAAAGGGAGAGGUGGCAAGUGGCCAAAGGUAGGCUGGACCCACCUACCACCUGGCAGUCUGCUGUGUUAGCAUACAACUCUCUGUGCGUGCGUGUGCACUCACAUACAUGUUAGGUAGGAGGGAAAGGCUUGUGGGAGACAACCCUGGAAGGGACACAUAUGAGAAGGUUGCAUGUUUUGCCCAGCGGGUCAGGGAACUAUCAACCUCGUCACUCACCUCCUCUUUUCUGUGUGGAGAUGUUCAGGUCUAGAAAGAAUUCACUCUCAGAGAAAUGAAGAUAAGAAGCAGCAACAAACAGCACCACAGGCAUAAAGGAGAAGAAUUGCUCGUAUCUCUGCAUCCCACAUCCUGAAGAGAAUCUAAUAUUUGUCCCAUCCAAGCAUCUGAAAAUGCAGGCAGGAGUGACACGACGUAGAUGCCGAUCAUGCAGUUUUGAAUGAGUUUGUGUUUGAGGCUGUGAUAGCCCCAGAGGACUCCCGGGUAAGUUAUCUAUAGUUGGAACAUUGCGUAUACUGUAUUUGCAUCAAAACAGGGCCCACUUC
This 2335-nucleotide long non-coding RNA is filed under the name Mustela putorius furo (domestic ferret). RNAcentral's name for it is "lncRNA (ENSMPUG00000029813.1)". Lineage: Eukaryota; Metazoa; Chordata; Mammalia; Carnivora; Mustelidae. The record is from RNAcentral.